This 1198-nucleotide long non-coding RNA is filed under the name Mustela putorius furo (domestic ferret). RNAcentral's name for it is "lncRNA (ENSMPUG00000031853.1)". The record is from RNAcentral. Lineage: Eukaryota; Metazoa; Chordata; Mammalia; Carnivora; Mustelidae.
CAUGGUUUAAUGCUGAUGCUUUAUAUGCUUCCUUCAGGUAUAUUAGGGGAAGUGGGACCUGGGAGGCCAGAGUUUGCCUCAAGACCCUGUCCUGCAUAGUGUAGACUGGGCUCAGCCAUCUCUGUGGUUCCUUUCGCCCCUCCAGGACUCCCCUCGGAGGCAGAGAUGCUCCUGUCACACACCCAUGGGGCUUCCAACCUGUCAGCAAGCCUGGCACUGCGGAGUGCAUGGGGUCAGCUGGAUGCUGCCCUCGGCCUGGAUGGCCCAACCCCUGGAGCCCCAGGCAGCCGGCUCCACACCAGCUUGGCCCACUCGGUGCCUGGCCUCAGGCGCUGGGGCCUCCCCUUCUCCAUGGACGGCCAAGGCCACUUCCAGAGCAUGGGACCCCGCGUGGUGGCUGGGCUGAUGGCGAGCGUGGACGGUGAGCAGCUCCAUGUGGUCCUGGAGACCAGGCGACAGCGUGGCCACCACAGGCUAGCCCUGGGGCUGCACCAGGGCCUCUCUGUGCUGCUGGGCACCGUGCCCGCGCGGCUUUGGGUCAACUGCAGCGGAGACGCCUCACCCACCCAGCUCUCAGGUCUCUGCAAGGGGGACUUCAUGGGGCAGCCUCUCGAGGUACGUGGGUCCCUCUCAUAGGUGGGCAGUGGGUCCUCUCUGUCACAGGCAGAUCGUGGCGGGCUGAGCUCCCUGAGCUCUGGCAGGUCCCGUGGCUCCUGGACCUGGGGUGAACUAGACACUGGGGCAACCACAGGGCUUCCUGCAGACCUUGUCAGUGCUGCUCUGUAGGCACCUGAGUGAGCAGCUGGUUGCAGGCCUGGCCUGGCGGAGCUCUGUGGCUUGAUGGCAGUGGAGGGGGACGUAGCCCAGAGGACUCGGGGGGUGGAGGACAGAGGUAUUCUGCCCCUGCGGCUCGCCGUCCUGGCCUGGCUGUGUGCUGGCAUCCCCCCCUGCAGGAGCUGGGUCGCUUUCCCAGGGUCACACGGGGGCCUCAAUGGUGGGAGAGUUAACUAAGAGAAUAGGGGGUCAGGACGGAAAGGGUUUUUAACAGGCUGGACAGAGGGGCUGCCUUUCGUCCAUGAAACUGAAGAGCCAGGGCACGUGGAAUGGGGGAGCUGUGCGCCUGGCACCCAGUCAGGGGUUUGUGGGCGGGGGCUUGGUUGCUAGAAAGAGUGACUGGGGAAGGGGGUUGGAACAGGAG